RNAcentral lists this long non-coding RNA (1504 nucleotides) under Homo sapiens (human). Its description in RNAcentral is "HSALNT0194422". The record is from RNAcentral. Lineage: Eukaryota; Metazoa; Chordata; Mammalia; Primates; Hominidae.
CUGCUUUCAUUCCUUCCCUCAUUUACCAAAUAUUGAUUUAGAACCUACUGUUUGACAGGCUCUGAGCAGCUAGUGAUCAACAUGGCAGACAAGGUCUCUGCUCUCAGAGAGCUUAUAUUCUGUGGCGGAGACAGAGACAAAUUAGCAAGAAGACAGCAGAAACUGGAGUCUCAAUCACAAUAGGACACAGGUGAGCCUGAGAUGACGCUAAUAUCAUUCUCCUGGAAUAUGGCUUCCCAACACAAGCACCAUCACCUUCAUCAUCAUCAUCAUCAUCAUCAUCAUCAUCAUCAUCACAGCGAUGACUUGCCCAAGAUCACACAGUUGUUAAGCUGCUGAGCAGGGAUUUGAAUCUGACUCGAACCUAACUACUCACCUGUGGUUAUAUACUCGUAAUUAUAUAUACAUUAAAGUCUCAUUGUGAAUUCUAAGCUGUGUCUAACAUAACACCAAUUGUACAAUAGGUGCUCAAUAAUGUGGCUGCCCUUUCCCACUUUAGGGAAACUCAAUAUGUAAAACUCUAAAGUGGGCAAGGAAAUUAACUAAGGGUCAUUGCCUGCAAUGUACAAGAAAAAAAAAAAAACAACGAGGAGGAAAAAAAAAAGAACGAGGAAACUCCCAACGAUGCACAAAUGCCGUUUGUUCAGAGAUCAUGAACUCACCAAGAGUCUUCAGAAACUAGAGAAAAUUCAACCUAAGGUGUUCAGUGCCAUCUCCUGUUGAAGAUAAAUUCAAUGUAAAAGCAGAUCUCGGCUCUGAAAAUAUCCCUGGGAACACUAGCAUUAAUGUACAUUAUUGCAUAACCAGGUUGUAAAAAUUUCAUUUUCCCUCAACUUCUGGGGAAGGGUGUACCUACUACUACUUAAUGUUAGCAGACUUUUUUCUUUGUUUCUAUUUCUACUAUAACAAUAUUAUUAAAACAUAAAAUUAGGAAAAGAAUCAUUGAGGCCAAGGCUACUCGCUCUGCACGGCAUCUGAUAUUAUUCCAUCCUUGACAUCAUUGCCUUUUCUACUUUUGGGUUUUUAUUUUAUUUUUACCUCUCCUGCUCUGUUUGGGGAUGUGAAUUCCCCCAAAAGCUCAGGAGCCAGGCACUCCUGGCUACAGAAGCCAAAUAGAUUUUAACCCAGCCUGAACUUUUGAGGUAAGCCACCAAAACACCCUUCUCCUAGGCAAAAUGCUUUUUUCUUUCCUGUAAGUCUACUGCAGAAAUUACAUUUUAAAAUAUUGAAAAGAGAAACAUAUUUUCCCACAAUCCCACCACUCUAACCCGGUAACUACCUUUCUUUUCUUUUUUUGUGUGUGUUGGUCGCAAGUCUCAUAUCUAUAAGUGCACGUAAGAGAACUGUAACUCUAGCAAACAUAGCAUUUCCAUUCGUUUUUCUCUUAAUGUUCUAUUAUUAUGCAGAUUUUUCCUAGGUCACUACAGUCUUCAUAUUCAUCAUUGUUUGAAAGAUGCCAAACGUUCCAUUGAGCAAGUGUUUCCAUUUUCCAUAAUGUUUCAAU